Non-coding RNA from Caenorhabditis elegans, 58 nucleotides. The record is from Ensembl. Lineage: Eukaryota; Metazoa; Nematoda; Chromadorea; Rhabditida; Rhabditidae.
UUAUCGAAUUUGCAUCGACCGGUUAGUGUGUCCGACCGGGCGGAUGUCCUUCUUUGAA